CGUGUAGGCGGAGAUGCAAGUUGGGAGUGAAAUCCCGGGGCUCAACCCCGGAACUGCUUUCAAAACUGCAUCCCUUGAGUGUCGGAGAGGCAAGCGGAAUUCCUAGUGUAGCGGUGAAAUGCGUAGAUAUUAGGAGGAACACCAGUGGCGAAGGCGGCUUGCUAGACGAUAACUGACGCUGAGGCGCGAAAGCGUGGGGAGCAAACAG
This 208-nucleotide ribosomal RNA is filed under the name uncultured bacterium. RNAcentral describes it as "partial 16S ribosomal RNA". It matches the Rfam family "Bacterial small subunit ribosomal RNA", at positions 568 to 775 of the family's 1533-position model. The record is from RNAcentral.